RNA transcript from Xyrauchen texanus (razorback sucker), 5078 nucleotides. It is a transcript of the gene named stress-associated endoplasmic reticulum protein 1-like, with no coding region annotated. The record is from RefSeq and is a predicted model, not a curated record. The transcript is spliced from 2 exons. Lineage: Eukaryota; Metazoa; Chordata; Actinopteri; Cypriniformes; Catostomidae.
AGUCAUUUUUACUUUCAGGUCCACUUCUCCAUAAGGGACAAAAGUAGCACAUUUAAAUUGAUAUUUUUCAAAUACUUGCAUUUAAUCACUAUGAAUAUGUAUUGCCUCCUACACAUACAACUGACAUAAAGUCAUGUAAUUUCAUAAUAAGUCAUAAUUAAGCUCCGAAUAGAAUAUUAAGAACUAUAUCAGAUGUAAUACAUAACAGAAGGCAUUUUUAACCCCAUUAUUUUGAGUUUCAGGGGCAUUUUACAGCUUUAUGAGGGCUGUUUCUACUUCAUAGUGACAUCAACAUCAGUUCAUAUUUUAUUCCAUUAUAUUGGAUUAUCAUUGAGUAUUACUAGAGCAGAUAACACGUUUCUGUCCCUGACAUUACAUAAGAAUGGCGUUUGUUGUUUAUUUACAUGAGGGCGUAUUCUCUGGUGAUUAAUGAUGAUAUUUGCAUGUUGUACAUAAAGACACUGUUGUUUCAAAGGUCUGUGGGAGUUUGGUAAUGUCACUGUUCUCAUGAAGCAUUACUCCAGUUGCUUUUGUGUUGAUCUGUUGAUGUGAACGUUUUAAUUUGAUGUCAAUGUUGGAAUGCCCAAUUCCCGCUACUUAGCAGGUCCUCGUGGUGGCGCAGUUACUCCCCUCAAUCCGGGUGGCGGAGGACGAGUCUCAGUUGCCUCCGCUUCUGAGAAUGUCAAUCCGUGCAUCUGUUCACGUGACUCGUUGUGCAUGACACCGCGGAGACUCACAGCAUGUGGAGACUCAUGCUACUCUCCACGAUCCACACACAACUCACCACACGCCCCAUUGAGAGAACCACUAAUCACCACCACGAGGAGGUUACCCCAUGUGACUCUACCCUCCCUAGCAACCGGCCCAAUUUGGUUACCCCAUGUGACUCUACUCUCCCUAGCAACCAGCGCAAUUUGGUUACCCCAUGUGACUCUACCCUCCCUAGCAACCAGCGCAAUUUGGUUACCCCAUGUGACUCUACUCUCCCUAGCAACCGGGCCAAUUUGGUUACCCCAUGUGACUCUACCCUCCCUAGCAACCGGGCCAAUUUGGUUACCCCAUGUGAGUCUACCCUCCCUAGCAACCAGGCCAAUUUGGUUACCCCAUGUGAGUCUACCCUCCCUAACAACCGGGCCAAUUUGGUUACCCCAUGUGAGUCUACCGUCCCUAGCAACCAGGCCAAUUUGGUUACCCCAUGUGAGUCUACCCUCCCUAGCAACCAGGCCAAUUUGGUUACCCCAUGUGAGUCUACCGUCCCUAGCAACCAGGCCAAUUUGGUUACCCCAUGUGAGUCUACCCUCCCUAGCAACCAGGCCAAUUUGGUUACCCCAUGUGACUCUACCCUCCCUAGCAACCAGGCCAAUUUGGUUACCCCAUGUGAGUCUACCCUCCCUAGCAACCAGGCCAAUUUGGUUACCCCAUGUGACUCUACCCUUCCUAGCAACCGGGCCAAUUUGGUUACCCCAUGUGACUCUACCCUCCCUAGCAACCGGGCCAAUUUGGUAACCCAAUUGUGAAUAUCUUGACACUAUCUGUAAAAUGUUGGAUAUAAAUACUAAUGUAAGUCAGGACAUAUAUUUCAUGGGUGACUUAAACAUUGACUGGUUUUCUAAAGACUGUGACUUGAAAAGAAAACUGUUAACUACUGCAAAUGCAUUUGGACUUAGUCAACUGAUAAAUAAGCCCACAAGAACACGUUUCAAGAGCGAUGGCUCCAGAACAUCUACUUGUAUAGAUCAUAUUUUUACAAACCGUCCUGAACUGUGUAAAAAGGUACUGUCUAUUCCCACUGGUAGCAGUGAUCAUAAUUUGAUCAUUUCUGCGUUAACAACCAAGUUGAGUGGAUCUGGAACUGCAGUCUUAUUUAAAAGAUCAUAUAAAUUGUUUAAAAAUGACAAGUUUAUUGAAGAUGUUCAAGCUAUAUGCUGGUCUGAUGUGUUGGCUGCUAGUAAUCCAGAAAUUGCUCUCUUUAAAUUUAACAAUCUAUUCUUGUCACUGAUUGAGAAACAUGUGCCUUUAAAGAAGUUUACUGUCAGGAACAACGUCACACCUUGGUUGGAUGAUGAACUGAAAAAUUCUAUGAAAAUAAGAGAUCAAAUGAAAAGAACAGCAGUUACUACAGGAAAUAAAUGUGAUUGGGACCUAUAUCGUAAAAUGAGAAAUUCUGUUACUAAACUUAAUAAAAAGAAGAAAAUCUAUUUUGAUAAUCAUGUUAAAAAUAUAGGUAAUGAUAAUAGGAAGUUAUGGAACGUUUUAAAUCAAUUGACUGGAAAGAAAAAUAAAAUAAAUCCAUCUUUUUUGGAAACAGGGGAUACAUUUAUAAUUAAGCCAAUAGAUAUUGCAAAUUAUCUUAAUGAUUAUUUUAUAAGAAAAUUAGAUAAACUAAGAGAAAAUAUGCCUAAUCUAAGUAAUGACAUAUCUUACCUAUUAAUAAGAAAUGAAUUCAUGAAAAAUAAAAAUGUAAGGUUUAAAUUAGAAAGUGUAAAUAUAGAUCAAGUAAAGAAUCUUUUAAAAUCUUGCAUAAACAAACCACCAGGUGUCGACGGUCUUGACAGCAGGCUUCUGAAACUAGCUGCUGACUUUAUUGCCCCGGUUCUAACCCAUAUCAUUAACCUCAGUUUUAUCUGCUGUACCUGCCCACAGGCAUGGAAGCAGGCUAAAAUAGUUCCUCUGCCCAAAGAUAAAAAACUGCCUUUCUCUGGUCCCAACAGUCGCCCGAUAACCUGUAUUAUCUAAAAUAAUGGAAUCUAUAGUGUACGAUCAAAUUAAUAAUUAUUUUUAUACAAAUCAUUUAUUAACAGAUUUUCAGCAUGCAUACAGAAAAAGUCACUCCACUGCCACUGCACUGACUCAUAUGUCUGAUGAUUGGCUUAGAGAGACUGAAAAGAGAAAUAUUACAGGUGUUGUGUUUUUAGAUUUUUCUGCUGCAUUUGACAUCAUAGAUCACGACCUGUUAUUAACAAAAUUAUCUUGUUAUGGUUUUGAGCAAUCAGCAAUCACAUGGAUGUACAGUUAUUUGUCAGACAGAACACAGACAGUGUUUUUUAAUGGCAGUUUCUCAGGAAUCAGAAAUAUUACAUGUGGAGUACCCCAAGGCAGUUGUCUGGGUCCAUUAUUAUUUAAUAUUUUUACUAAUGAUUUACCGUAUAUUUUAUGUAAGGCUAACAUUGUCAUGUACGCUGAUGAUUCAACUUAUAUACAUCAGCAAGUACGCAAAUGGAAUUAGAAAGUGUUUUAAAUAAAGAAUUACAAUAUGUAGUAGAUUGGAUCAAAUUAAAUAAACUGGCAUUAAAUACUGUAAAAACUAACUGCUUGAUUGUAGGUUCAAAUUAUAACAUUAAUCAAAAUCCUGUAAUUAAUAUUAAAAUUAAUAACGCAAUUAUUGAACAGGUGCAUGAGACCAGACUGCUGGGUGUAAUAGCUGACUCUAGAUUAUCGUGGAAAAAACAUAUUAGUAAUAUUAUUGCAAAAAUGGGAAGAGGUAUAUCUAUUAUGAGAAGACACGCACAUUUUUUAACUUGAAAUAUUAUGAAUUAUGCGAUGAAAGCACUAAUAUUGACAUACCUCGACUAUUGCCAAAUGUCACUGGUGAAUAUAUGAAUAAAUUACAACUUAUACAGAAUAGAGCGGCUCGUGUAGCACUUAGGUGCAGCUAUAGGAGAAAUAUUAUAUUAAUACACAAAGAUCUUAAUUGGUUGUUGGUUGAAGAUAGACUGUUGUAUUCACUGUUAAUUUUCAUAAGAAAUAUUUCUAUUUCAAAAUUUCCUUCUGUUUUGUUCAAGCAUCUUUCUUUUAGUGUAGACAAUCAUCAGUACAGUACCAGACAUGCAACUAAAGGUAACUUCACCUUACCCAUAGUAAGAACAAAUGCCAUAAAAAACACUGUUGCGUUCAGAGGUAUGAGGGAAUGUAAUAAAUUGCCAAAACAUAUUAUGCUUACUAAUAAUGUAAAUAAAUUUAAAUUAUAUGUAAAACAGCAUCUAUUAAAAUAAUAUAUCUGACAGUUUAUAUUUAUUAAUAUAUGUGUGUGAAUAUGUAUGUACAUGCACAUGUGUAGGUAUGUAAUAGGCGUAUGUGUAGAAUGUGUUUUUAUAUAUGUGUGUCUUUCAUGCCCGUAUAAGGGGAUAUAUGUAUGUUGAUAUGUGUAUAUACACGUGUAUAUGUGUAUGUGUUGGUGUAUUUUUCUUUUUUCCCAUUUAUUUGUUGUAUUUUUAAUGUACAUAUUUUUCAGGACCCCAGGAAGAAUAGCUGCAGCACGGCUGUAGGUAAUGGGGAUCCUUUCAAUAAAAACAAAAAACAAACCCUAUGCGAGUCACUCAGCACGCUCUGGAUUCUGCUAUCUUUCAGAUCAUCCAGAGCAUCAGACAGGGGAUGUAAACACUGAGACGAGCAUCAGAAGCGUCGGCCCCUCUUAAAAACUGCUCUUCCAUCCACGUUUUUUCUCCAACGCUUCCUCUGUCAGCUUACGACUGAUUUUAAGCUUUGUGUGUGUUUUAAAAAUGAUCUGUAUCCCUUAACGUUAAACGUGAGGCUAGAACCUUCUGGAUGUGUCGUUGGCUGUUGCUCCUCAGGUGCGGUUACGAGUGUCACUCACAUGGGUGAAAUUAUCUUAUCUGGUUAUUGUUUCAUUGUUCAUAAACUGUAUAAAAGAUAUGACCAUGUGUAAAUUCAACAUCAAUAGCCAUAUGAUAUUUAUCUCUCUGUUACAGUAAAUUGAUGCUGUGUAAUGAUGAUUUUAUACAAAUACAAGUUAUUUUCUCUAUUGGCACUCUGUUUUAUUGUCAGAAUAAAGAACUGAGAAUAACUGGGUACACUAACAAAAAGUACCAUGUUUUAUAUAUGUAUAGUACAAUGGAAAUACCAUGUUUUUAGACCCAUGAUAGUUAUUUUAUUAGCGAGUGACUAUUCGCAUUAAGUGUAAAUAGCACCUGACACAGCGCCGCUAUUUGCACUCCAGUAGUGGAAACUGAACUUUGAUUACUAUCUGUGGGAGGGCGGGGCCAGGUCGUGAUGCAGCGACAGAGAGAGAGAUUUACGGGCAGCUGCCCGACACCUUUGUGUGUGUGUUUUGUCUUUUG